CGAGGGGGAUUAGUUGUCUAGCAAUAGAUGGCUAUGAGACCGGCAAACGGGUGCGGAACACGUACGCAACCUUCCCAAAACUGGUGAAUAGCCCUCCGAAAGGAGGAUUAAUACACCGUAACUUAAUGAGCUGGCAUCAGUUUAUUAAUAUAGCUCCGGCGGUUUUGGAUGGGCGUGCGCCUGAUUAGGUAGUUGGCGGGGUAACGGCCCACCAAGCCUACGAUCAGUAACUGGUGUGAGAGCACGACCAGUCACACGGGCACUGAGACACGGGCCCGACCCCUACGGGAGGCAGCAGUAAGGAAUAUUGGUCAAUGGACGCAAGUCUGAACCAGCCAUGCCACGUGAAGGAUGACGGCCCUCUGGGUUGUAAACUUCUUUUAUCUGGGACGAAAAAAGGUCAUUCUUGAUCACUUGACGGUACCAGAGGAAUAAGCACCGGCUAACUCCGUGCCAGCAGCCGCGGUAAUACGGAGGGUGCAAGCGUUAUCCGGAUUUACUGGGUUUAAAGGGUGCGUAGGUGGAUUUGUAAGUCAGUGGUGAAAUCUCCGAGCUUAACUCGGAAACUGCCAUUGAUACUAUAAGUCUUGAAUUAUCUGGAGGUGAGCGGAAUAUGUCAUGUAGCGGUGAAAUGCUUAGAUAUGACAUAGAACACCAAUUGCGAAGGCAGCUCACUACGGAUUGAUUGACACUGAGGCACGAAAGCGUG
Molecule: ribosomal RNA, 709 nt
Filed under: uncultured Bacteroidota bacterium
Lineage: Bacteria; Pseudomonadati; Bacteroidota
Description: bacterial SSU rRNA
Rfam family: Bacterial small subunit ribosomal RNA
Source: RNAcentral